Long non-coding RNA from Drosophila montana, 285 nucleotides. RefSeq lists it as uncharacterized. The transcript has 2 exons. The record is from RefSeq and is a predicted model, not a curated record. Lineage: Eukaryota; Metazoa; Arthropoda; Insecta; Diptera; Drosophilidae.
CUUUGAGGUUACGUGUAUAUUUUUCUAGAAAUUCAAUCGAAAGCAAUAAAAAAAUUGUCAGAAAAUGUACAAAUGUCAAAAUACUAAUUCUUACCCAUAGAUUCACGAUAGACAAUGUUGCGCUGAUUAAAUUACAAAUGUCCGGAAAAGCCUGAGAAACUAUCGGAAUGCAGGAGCAGACCGUUGACAAAUGCCAAGAUGGGUAGACAAGAAUUGGGCCAAGGUCACGCACAAGGGUGCACAAUUCCAGGUACUACCUGAGAUCAGUAGUAAGCAGCUGUAAUA